AAGACUAUACUUUCAGGGAUCAUUUCUAUAGUGCUUAACUGGAGAAAUGUGCUCGAAAGUGGUCAAACUCAGUACCCACGAGGACGAGCUUAAGUGUUCUCUCCUGAGCGUGAAGUGGGCUUGUAGUUCUGUUUACGCAGUUGCUACUUGCCUUUGAUGACCGUUCUGCUCUUCGUUAACGAAGAGUUGGAGGGAGAGAGCACAAGCUGAGUGGU
Small nucleolar RNA from Spea bombifrons (plains spadefoot toad), 215 nucleotides. RefSeq annotates it as small nucleolar RNA U3. Lineage: Eukaryota; Metazoa; Chordata; Amphibia; Anura; Pelobatidae. The transcript has a single exon. The record is from RefSeq and is a predicted model, not a curated record.